CAGUCGCCACGGUAAUACGUAGGGGGCAAGCGUUAUCCGGAAUUACUGGGUGUAAAGGGAGCGUAGACGGUUAAACAAGUCUGAAGUGAAAUGCCGGGGCUCAACCCCGGAGCUGCUUUGGGAACUGUAGAACUGGAGUGUCGGAGGGGUAAGCGGAAUUCCCAGUGUAGCGGUGAAAUGCGUAGAUAUUGGGAGGAACACCGGCGGCGAAGGCGGCUUACUGGACGACAACUGACGUUGGGGCUCGAAGGCGUGGGUAGCAAACAGGAUUAGAUACCCCCGUAGUCCCUGUCUCUUAUAC
RNAcentral lists this ribosomal RNA (301 nucleotides) under uncultured bacterium. RNAcentral's name for it is "partial 16S ribosomal RNA". It matches the Rfam family "Bacterial small subunit ribosomal RNA", at positions 509 to 807 of the family's 1533-position model. The record is from RNAcentral.